Molecule: transfer RNA, 111 nt
Filed under: Caudoviricetes sp.
Lineage: Duplodnaviria; Heunggongvirae; Uroviricota; Caudoviricetes
Description: tRNA-OTHER
Rfam family: tRNA
About the family: Transfer RNA (tRNA) molecules are approximately 80 nucleotides in length. Their secondary structure includes four short double-helical elements and three loops (D, anti-codon, and T loops).
Source: RNAcentral
AGGUGUGUAGCUCAAAGGUAGAGCGGUGCAGGGAUGCUAAAUAGAAGCACAAAGGUUGAAAGACCUCGCAUUUCCGGGCGCAGGUUGCAGGUUCGAAUCCUGCCGCACUUA